GUAGGUGGCAAGCGUUAUCCGGAGUUAUUGGGCGUAAAGCGCGCGCAGGCGGUUUCUUAAGUCUGAUGUGAAAGCCCACGGCUCAACCGUGGAGGGUCAUUGGAAACUGGGGAACUUGAGUGCAGAAGAGAAAAGCGGAAUUCCACGUGUAGCGGUGAAAUGCGUAGAGAUGUGGAGGAACACCAGUGGCGAAGGCGGCUUUUUGGUCUGUAACUGACGCUGAGGCGCGAAAGCGUGGGGAGCAAACAGGGAUUAGAUACCCUGGUAGUCCACGCCGUAAACGAUGAGUGCUAAGUGUUAGAGGGUUUCCGCCCCUUUAGUGCUGCAGCUAACGCAUUAAGCACUCCGCCUGGGGAGUACGGUCGCAAGACUG
RNAcentral lists this ribosomal RNA (373 nucleotides) under uncultured organism. Its description in RNAcentral is "partial 16S ribosomal RNA". It matches the Rfam family "Bacterial small subunit ribosomal RNA", at positions 527 to 896 of the family's 1533-position model. The record is from RNAcentral.